Molecule: ribosomal RNA, 452 nt
Filed under: uncultured Leptolinea sp.
Lineage: Bacteria; Bacillati; Chloroflexota; Anaerolineae; Anaerolineales; Anaerolineaceae
Description: bacterial SSU rRNA
Rfam family: Bacterial small subunit ribosomal RNA
Source: RNAcentral
GGGCCCGCACAAGCAGCGGAGCGUGUGGUUUAAUUCGAUGCUACACGAAGAACCUUACCAGGGUUUGACAUACAAGUAGUAGGGAAAGGAAACUGGACCGACCCUUCGGGGAGCUUGUACAGGUGCUGCAUGGCUGUCGUCAGCUCGUGUCGUGAGAUGUUCGGUUAAGUCCGCUAACGAGCGCAACCCUCGCUGUGUGUUACAAGUGUCACACGAUACUGCCGGUAUCAAGCCGGAGGAAGGUGGGGAUGAUGUCAAGUCAGCAUGGCCUUUAUAUCCUGGGCUACACACACGCUACAAUGGCAGAUACAAUAGGUUGCGAAACCGCGAGGUGGAGCCAAUCCUCAAAGUCUGUCUCAGUUCAGAUUGUAGGCUGCAACUCGCCUGCAUGAAGUUGGAGUUGCUAGUAAACGCAGGUCAGCUAUACUGCGUUGAAUACGUUCCCGGGGUUU